AUCGCUUCUUGGCCUUUUGGCUAAGAUCAAGUAUAGUAUCUGUUCUUAUCAGUUUAAUAUCUGAUAUGUCCCUUAUCUGGGGACUAUAUGUUAAAUUGAUUUUUGGAACAGGGAGAUGGAAUAGGGGCUUGCUCCAUUCAUUCCACGCAAUCCAGUGAUGAUGCCUUACAACUUAAAUAACAUAUCUG
Small nuclear RNA from Protopterus annectens (West African lungfish), 188 nucleotides. RefSeq annotates it as U2 spliceosomal RNA. Lineage: Eukaryota; Metazoa; Chordata; Ceratodontiformes; Protopteridae. The transcript has a single exon. The record is from RefSeq and is a predicted model, not a curated record.